UACGGAAGGCAGCAGUGGGGAAUAUUGCACAAUGGGCGAAAGCCUGAUGCAGCUAUGCCGCGUGUAUGAAGAAGGCCUUAGGGUUGUAAAGUACUUUCAUCGGGGAGGAAAAAACAAAACUAAUAAUUUUAUUUCUUGACGUUACCCGAAAAAGAAGCACCGGCUAACUCCGUGCCAGCAGCCGCGGUAAUACGGAGGGUGCUAGCGUUAAUCAGAAUUACUGGGCGUAAAGAGCACGUAGGUGGUUUUUUAAGUCAGAUGUGAAAUCCCUGGGCUUAACCUAGGAAACUGCAUUUUGAAAACUGAAAUACUAGAGUAUCGUAGAGGGAGGUAGAAUUCUAGGUGUAGCGGUGAAAUGCGUAGAUAUCUGGAGGAAUACCUGUGGCGAAAGCGGCCUCCUAAACGAAUACUGACACUGAGGUGCGAAAGCGUGGGGAGCAAACAGGGAUUAGAUACC
Molecule: ribosomal RNA, 457 nt
Filed under: uncultured bacterium
Lineage: Bacteria
Description: bacterial SSU rRNA
Rfam family: Bacterial small subunit ribosomal RNA
Source: RNAcentral